Molecule: small nuclear RNA, 18 nt
Filed under: Arabidopsis thaliana (thale cress)
Lineage: Eukaryota; Viridiplantae; Streptophyta; Magnoliopsida; Brassicales; Brassicaceae
Description: snRNA_17196
Source: RNAcentral
ACGGUGGUCUUAGGGUGG